Molecule: ribosomal RNA, 773 nt
Filed under: uncultured bacterium
Lineage: Bacteria
Description: bacterial SSU rRNA
Rfam family: Bacterial small subunit ribosomal RNA
Source: RNAcentral
AGAGUUUGAUCAUGGCUCAGGACGAACGCUGGCGGCGUGCUUAACACAUGCAAGUCGAACGGAAAGGCCCUUCGGGGUACUCGAGUGGCGAACGGGUGAGUAACACGUGGGUGAUCUGCCCUGCACUUUGGGAUAAGCCUGGGAAACUGGGUCUAAUACCGAAUAUGACCACGCUCUUCAUGGGGUGUGGUGGAAAGCUUUUGCGGUGUGGGAUGGGCCCGCGGCCUAUCAGCUUGUUGGUGGGGUAAUGGCCUACCAAGGCGACGACGGGUAGCCGGCCUGAGAGGGUGACCGGCCACACUGGGACUGAGAUACGGCCCAGACUCCUACGGGAGGCAGCAGUGGGGAAUAUUGCACAAUGGGCGCAAGCCUGAUGCAGCGACGCCGCGUGAGGGAUGACGGCCUUCGGGUUGUAAACCUCUUUCACCAGGGACGAAGCGCAAGUGACGGUACCUGGAGAAGAAGCACCGGCCAACUACGUGCCAGCAGCCGCGGUAAUACGUAGGGUGCGAGCGUUGUCCGGAAUUACUGGGCGUAAAGAGCUCGUAGGUGGUUUGUCGCGUUGUUCGUGAAAACUCACAGCUUAACUGUGGGCGUGCGGGCGAUACGGGCAGACUAGAGUACUGCAGGGGAGUCUGGAAUUCCUGGUGUAGCGGUGGAAUGCGCAGAUAUCAGGAGGAACACCGGUGGCGAAGGCGGGUCUCUGGGCAGUAACUGACGCUGAGGAGCGAAAGCGUGGGGAGCGAACAGGAUUAGAUACCCUGGUAGUCCAA